Molecule: long non-coding RNA, 26734 nt
Organism: Biomphalaria glabrata
Lineage: Eukaryota; Metazoa; Mollusca; Gastropoda; Planorbidae
Exons: 3
Source: RefSeq, a predicted model, not a curated record
CAGCUGUACAAAGGAUGUUUCAUAGAAAAAAAAAGUAUCCUGUUCUUUUUUUUUUUUUUUUUACUGCUCUGCACUGCCAGAUAGGGAUUUGAUUAUAGGAUGAAUCAAGAUUGCUGCUAUGUUGACUAAUAAAAAUUAUUUGACAGUUUUCAUCUAUUCUAAUCUGAAACAUUUAUUUGCAAAGAGUUAAUUUAUUGGAGGUAACAUCUGAACUGCAUUUAUGUCAGUAACAUGAAGAUCUUUGUUCACUAAAGAAUAUAUUUUCAGGAAAUUGAGCAUGAAGACUUUUCUCAGGUAUCUUUGCCUAAUCUGAAAUGUGGGCAACGCUAUAUGUCUUUCAGAGAGAUCUCAAGCCUUGUUAGUGCAUGUUACAUGUUGGCCUCAUUUUUUUUUUAUAAUCUAAAACGUUAUUUCAAUUACUACUAUAUAUCUGGCAGUUUUCAUAAGAGCUGAAAAUUUUUUUUAUUUACUAUUAAACAUGUUUGUCUAGACUAGUGAGAUUUACUUUCUCUUUCUCAAAGAAAGGGCUCUACAUGACAUGAAUCUAUCUACAAAUGAUUUUUUCUUAAUACCAUACUAGUCUAUAAUAUUUCUUGAGUUGGCAGUCAGGUCUGAAUUAAAAUUUAAAAUAUAUCUGAAUGUUCACUUUUGAAAAUCUUUUUUCAAGCACUUGAUAGGUUGAAAUCAAUGCCUACUUCCAGUUGUUUUUCUAUCGCUGCAAACACUGCAGUUUUAUUGCUUUUUCUUUUGAAAAACAUACAAAUUUGGUCUCAUGUUUAGUCACUGGUUGUGGUCUAAUAAUGACUGUCUGCCCCUAGCUCAACAGUGAUGAAAGCUAGACUCACUUUGAUCUUCGACUAAUUGGAAUGUUUCUUUCUAAACUGGAUACAAUUUUAUUGGUUUCUUUGAACAGAAAAAAAACUAAAACUAAAAAAGGAAUAAGAACAACUAAAAACUGAAUCUGGCUAAGUCAAGAAGAAAUAGCAAAAUUAAAACAAAAAUUAAUAAUUAAAAAAAAUUAAUUUAAUGAUUCACAAAAAAAAUUUAAAUCACAAAAAAGGAUUGUUUGAAAGGGACAAAAUCAUUAAGGCAUUCAAUGUGAUAAACUCCUCCUUAAAGAAUUAGAAAACAUUGAUGGGUCCCUUAAAAAAGAUAAAAAGAACUUUUGUAAUAACUCCUUUGAUAUUUUAUGAUUGCAUUUCCCACAAUGUCCCCUUUAAACAUCCCUUCUGUUAUAAAUAGUUUAUCACAUAGAAUGGGGAUCCUUAUUGAUUCUGUCCCUAACAGAAGUUCAGUAGAAAAUUGUGUUAGGGAACUUGGUGUUAUAUUGGGGAUGCUUGGCUUCCAAACCCAUGGUCCUGGGUUUGAAUCUCAGUGAAGACUGGGAUUUUGAAUUUCAGUAUUUUUUUUUGCAGCACCCCUGAGUCCACCCAACUCAAAUGGGUACCUGAUAGUAAAGGCGGGCAUUCUUUGUGCUGUCCUCAUGACAACCUGCUCAUUAAACCGUUGAGCAAAGAAACAGAUGACUUAUACAUCAUCUGUCUUAUAGAUCUUAAGGGCUGAAAGGGGAAAUUUACUUGGUGCUAUAUCAGAUCUCCAAGCUGUUAAAGUUUUCAUGGCUACACCAGGCCUAACUCUUGGGUUUGAUGCCACAAUCCAAGAGGGUGCACAUGUCAACUCAAAGCAUCUCACCACCAAUUCUAAUACUUUAAAUGACUGAGUGGUGGGGCAGCCGAGGACUAUUGGAAUCACAUAAGCACUUGAUAACUUUGCAGACGUGUACUCUAAUUUUCCUAAGGCAGAUUUACAUGAGUGCUGAGAUAAAAUUAUACCAAAUAUUUCAAACACAAUGUCUGACUAGGGUCGUGUAAAUCAUGCCACUGUUGUGCGAUUGACUGAGUUGUGGGACAAAUCCGUGACUGAGCUUAAUUGCCACUUGCACCAACUUGAUAGCAUUACUAAAGGCUGCACGGAGGCACUUAAGAGUUAAGACCCUCCAGGCAGAACAAGCUUAACUUUUUGGUCAUGACUGCUUGGCAGGUAACAUUGUCUUGCAGCUAACAAAAAUGUGUUACUAAAUGGGAACAGGCAAUCCUAAAGCUUGUGAGUCUUAUUCCAGGAUAUAGGGGUAACUCAAACUGUUUCCACAUAUAAUUCCUUACUUUUGGAAUAUCGAUCCUUCAUUUCGACCAAAUUUUAGAUUUUGGGAUUUGCCUCUGCCCUUCCUUGUGGAGGUCUGACAGCUGAAUGACAUCCAACUUUAAACUACAAAUAAAUUAAUUUGUCAAUGGGUCUAAUAAGAAAACUGUUGACAGGCCCUUGUAUGAGAAAACUUGAAACAUUGCAAGAUGAUGUGAGAAAUAUUAUUAUUAGGGCAUUUCUUCUUCUAUUUCUAGACAGCUUUUUGCUGCAUUAUGAGGGCAUCACAGUCAUGAAGAGUUCUAGCCCAAGUAAAUGAAUGUUAAAAAAAAUCCUUUCAGUAUUUUUGCAAAGAGCUUAGACUUCUUAAAUGAUGGCCUUGAUGCCAAAGACCCUGUACUGCAUGUUCUUUUGCUCUGCCCUCAAGAUUUGCAAGCUAAGUGAAUGAUUGCCUGUCUUCUUAUGUGUCUGUUAUCCAGUGGCAGUAUGAAAGUUUUCUUAAUAUGGAUGAUUCUGAGCGAAUGAAGAUUGAAGCAAAAUCUGUGAGGCCACAUAAUAUAAACGCAUGUUUAAUACAGAAAUAAAAAGUCCAACUGUGUUGUCUUUUCAAAAAAGAACAAAACUGUGGCCUAUAUAGAUUCUUUGAUUGAAUUAACUCUGAAAGAAAGUGUUGAAUGCGCCAUAGGUAUUGAACGCAUUACAAGGCAGGAUAAUAAAAUGUGGUGUGAAUUGAUUCUUAGGAGGGCAGAAUAAAAGACCAGAGACAGUAAAAAAAAGAGGAAACAGAUUGAGAACUUUCUUAGAACAGACUUUGCCAGGAUUAGGAGAGAGAGGAAAGUUGUGACCAAAGAGACUUUGACUGAGGUAAUGGACAUUUAUCUGGGAAUACUUUUGAGAGGUUGAUUUGUCAUUACUGGUUUGAUGACGGUGCGCAUGUACCAUAUCUUCAUGAAGUAAGAACAGAAAGAAAAUAAAGCUGCCUUUAACAUAGAUAUAUGUGUGUCCUACUGGUCGAUUGAAGAGGAUGAAAGUGACAGUGUUGUGGCAUGAAUAAAUAUGAAUUAACUUGAGACAUUCUAUUCAAAGACCUGGCUUUACUGUAAAUUAUAAGACUGGACACUAGAUACGAUUGACAUCAUGUUUUUUUUUCUACCCAUUGUCAAUGAUUGUGCAAUUUGACAUCAGUAUUGGAACUUUUUUGAAUUGUGUGACUAACAAGUAUUUAGGUAUCUUUUUUACUCACUUUCUAUAACUCACUUUCGCAAAAGGAAUUAGAGUACAUUCAAUAUAUUGUGAUUUUUUAGUUCUCAGUGCUGCUCUUCUCUUUGCCAGUUUCAGUUAAACCCCCAAAUUGAAAUAUUAACUAAUCUGUCACUAUUUAAGUGUCCAUAUGUUUGGAUAGAUCUUUUAAUGGUAAGAAAAAUAUAUUAAAUAAAUUUGUUUUACCUUAACUCUUGGAAACUGUUAAACAGACUUGUUUUAUAAAAUUUGUUGGAAAUUGAAUGUACCACAAGAUAAUUUAAAUUUAUACUUUAGUGUUAUAGUCACUGAAAAAAAAUCAAUAUCAGAGAUGAAAAAAAAGAUUUCUUUAAAAAUUAUCUUACCCAAGAAAAAAAGAAUAUCCCUACAGUUUCUUAUCUUAUAUAAUACAGAAAAGAAGAUGAUUACGUCCUACAGGUUUAGUCAUGCACGUUAAAUGAACUAAAUUCUGCCAAGUCACUGGUUUUCUUGGCUGGCUCAGGCAACCCAUUCCAUGCUCUAAUAGCGCUAGGGAAGAAAGAGCAUUUGUACAAAUUUGUCCUAGCAUAUGGAACAAGGAAUAUGCCUUUAUCUUUGUAUCUUUCUGAGUAUUUUAUUAAAUUUUGUUUUUGUAUUUGAAGAUUAUGGUUCAGUGUUUUAUGUAUAAUUGCUACUUUACUUUUAAGUCUUCUAUCCUGAAGGCUUUCUAAAUUUAGUGAUUUUACUAAAGGUGUUACUCUAGUCAAAUGUGAAUAUUCGUUUGUUAUGAAUCUCACUGCUCUGUUUUGUGUCUGUUCCAGUUUCUUAAUGUUUUCUUGAGUUGAGGGGUCCCAAACAGAAGAUGCAUAUUCUAUUAUUGGGCUAACCAAGGUUAAAUAACAUUUUAGUUUUAGGUUCUAAUUUGAUUUAUAGAAAUUUCUUUUAAUAAACCAUAAUGCUUUGUUUUGAUUUUUUGAUAGUUUCAUCAAUAUGGGGAUUCCAUGACAGUUUUUCAUUUAUUAUAACACUAGGUAUUUUGCAUUUUUAGUUUGUGUUACUGGUUUACCAUGAAUAAGAUAAGUGGAGUUAAUUUGUUAUAUUUUUUUUUGUUACUCUUAAUAACUGACAUUUUUCUGGGUGGAAAGACAUGCUCCAAUUUGAUUCCCAUUUCUGUAAUUCAUCUAAUUCUCUUUGUAAAAUGUCUGUAUCUAAUGUUGUUUUUAUUGUUUUAUAUAUUAUGCAAUCAUCUGCAAAUAAUCUGACUUUUGUUCCUGAACUAAUGCAAUUUGGUAAAUCAUUUAUGUAAAUUAAAAAUAGUAGUGGACCUAAGACUGUUCCUUGAGGUACACCUGAGUUAACUGUUAUUGGUGUUGAUUUAGAGACAUUUAUUAUUACAGAUUGUUCUCUCCCUAUCAGAAAAUCUUUAAUCCACUGAUGCAAUGGACCAUCAAUGCUAAAAUAUUUUAAUUUUUUAAGCCAACUAUGGUGGUGAACUUUGUCAAAAGCCUUGGAAAAAUAUAGUAAGAUAGCAUCUAUUAGCUCACUAUCAUCUAAACCUUUUGAAAAAUCAUCAAUUAGUCCUAUUAGUUGUGUUUCACAUGAUCUAUAUUUCCUAAAGCCAUGUUGGUAUGGAGUAAUGACAUUAUGUUUGUCUAAGUGGUUUAUGAUGUUGCUACAUAUUAUGUGUUCCAGGAUUUUACAUGUGAUGCUGGUAAGUGAUACUGGUCUGUAGUUUCCUGGGUCAGAUUUUUCUCUUUUUUUAAAUUGGGGAGGUGACAUUAGCUUCUUUCCAGUCCCUUGGUACUCUGCCCUGGUUAACCCAUUAACCCCCAAAACUUUAUUAUUGGUGUACACAUAUUCAUUUUAGUGUUUAUCAGUCUCUAUUGGUCUAACUAAGUGUGACAGGUGGGGAAAUGUGACGUGUGUUUGGCGCGUUUAUUGUGUAGGGGAUGAUUAUUUUUAAAGCUAUCAUCUAUCUCUAAAUAAUACUAGGUCUAAUCAUCACUCUUGCACCUAAUAAGAGAGUAUGUCACUUUGUCCUCUGACUUAGCUGGUAUUCCUGAUGAUGUCGCAGCUGGCUGUGUCCUGGCUUGAGGUUCUGCAGCUGGAGAUGGCGCUCUAGCGGAUAGAGGGACGCCAGUGAUAUAGUUCUUGUGGAGUCUCAAUCCCCAAAAUCUAAUAUCUGUAGAGGGCACAGUAGGGCGGGUGGCCAGCUACCGUGGGCACAAGUGUACUGCGGGCAGAGCGGAUCUGCCUGGGCAGCGUAGUGAACAGGAUAUGUCCAGUGAGUUGCAGAGGGUUGGCGUAGCUAUGACAUCUCGCACAGAUCUGAAUCUAUAGGGACGUCGCACCUAAUAAGUUGACAGGUGGGCUGUCGAAUAGGCGGGCAAUGCCGAUAGCGCCAAGUAGUAGCAAGUGCAGUGCUGAAUAGCACUAAAUAAAUAGGCAGGUCAGUGAGCUAGUGCCGUGCUGAAUAGCAUCUUAUGCAUCUUAUCGAUGCCCUCAACUGAGGUGCAUUCGUCAGAUUGGUAAAAUUGCUUUUGAGCACAAAAGGGGAGAUGAUGACAAAUGGGAUUUGGAAUAAUAGAUGGCUGAUGGUAGCAAUAUAAAAAUGUACAUAAAAGGGAAAGUAAUAAUAUAAAAAUGUACAUAGAAGGGGAAAUAAUAAUUUCAAAUAAACAACACAGGUGGAUAGAAAAAGAAAAAGGGGGGGGGUUGAAUUGGGCAGUGGUCAGCGACCCUGACGGUAUGUUUACAUAUGACCGUCAUUCGAGAACAAUGGAGCGCGCUUGAAUGGAGAGGGUGUCCGUUCAAGCGGCGCAAAUCUCGUUAGAGUGAAAUGGCUACAGGGGAGAUAAUUCAUGUCUCCUUUCUAAGCGCAGUGUUAGUGCGAUAGUAAAAUUAUCAAGGCUGUCAACCGAGAUAAAGGAAAUAAAAUAAGGUGUACAAAUAUAUACAUGGUUGCAUCAAUGAUCAAUUGAGCAACGUAGCAUUAAUAGAUUAAUGCAAUACGUAAAAUAUACAUUAGCCAUGUUUAUGUUUUCUACUUACGACAGUGAGAAAUACACAAUGCACUAAUUAAAUAUAAAUGAAAUAAUAAACUACACAUGAUAAAAUCCAAUGGAAAUAUACACAGAGUAAUUAAGAUGGAACUUGUGAUUAAGUUCGGCUUACCACCAGGUAUUCCUCUAGGAGUAAAAUGUAUGAAGUAGUCCAGACUCGAUUGCUCAGCGAUAGAGAAAUAAGAGGGUCUGAUUUGAUUUGGAUCUACUUUAUAUACAGGCCUGGAGAAUGUGGGCGGACACAGGAAAUGUCCUAGGCUAAGAAUUAUCUUACACGUGGGUGAAUUAGACUUAAGAUGGGAUUCGCACAUUGGGAGGUCAAUGGGCGUGUUUGUCCUUGUGGUCUCCUAGAUCAAAGAGAGGCAUAGGAAAAAGGAAGGGGGGGAGGAGUGACUUGCAUUCCACACAAGGUGGUGUCCACUGCGGCUGUCAGACAUCCUGCCGAUAAGAUCAAAGAGUCUGUGUGUAUCUUUGCCCCGGUCAAGGGAAGAUAAAUGAUUGGACGAGCCUUAACUAUCUCCAAUGUGGUCAACUAAGUCUAGCCUGGAGCGGAAAAGGUGUGGCGGGUGAAUAAUUUAGGGGUAGGAUGGGGAAAUAAUUAAAAUAAAAUAAAUAAAUAAUGAAAAAUAAUAAUUAAUGCUGUGAUAAAUUUGAGUGACUCUGACAGCGAGUUUUUGACUUGUCACACUAAGACAUUGCAAAAAAACAUUUUAGAAAAAUUCCACCUAGUAUAGAUUUUACAAGACCUACACUGCCAGCAGUUACAUAGCAGGAAGUGGCCCCAUGAGGAAUAUUAUAUAACAUGUAACAUUUAAAAGCAAAAAUUAAUAAAAAUGUGUUCAUAAAAGUCACAUUUUAAAUUUUUAUUAACAAAAAUAUUAUGAAGAUUCAGUAGAAAAAAACAUAUUUUUUUAGAAAGUAAAUUUUUUUACAAACAAAACAAUGAAAAUAGAAUUAUUUACAUAGUAUGGCUAUGAAAAAGAUUAAAACAUUUCAAAUGUAAUCCAACAGGACACACUGAGCAUCCUUUAUUGCAAGUCUUUUUGCAAAUUGCACAUCGUUUGGUUGUACCUCAUUUCCAAUGGCACUCUUUUGCAAAUCACAGACUUUGAAGGAGUGGUACUUCUACUUUUUUGGCUGUCCCACUGCAGAAACCAAGAGUUCACAACAUAUCUUCUGAAAGCCAACAAGUCCAGAGGUUGUGAUGUGAACAACUCAGACUGACGAUAAAGUAGCCAAGCAUUUUGUAAGCAUAAAUGGAUUGGCCAGCCAAAAAAGGGCGACCACCACUUUUUGUUUCUGAUCUGUAUUUUGCUAUAUUUUGGUCAGCUCUAUCAACUCCUCCCAUAUUUUGAUUGUAGAGUGAAAUGAUGUUUGGUUAUGUAAUAACCUGAAUACAUUCUUUUUUCCUUUUUUGACCAUCGCUGGACAUUUUCAAUGGCAGGUCACCAGAAACAUUGGAAGCAAUAGAAACAACACUGUUGUCAUUCCACUGUAAAAUUAUUAAAUUGCUAUGUCUGUCCUCUUUCUUUUUUUUUUUUCAUUUCAGUCCUAGUGGACAUUGUUUAAGCCUGUUGGCUCUGAUAGUGCCUAUAGCUCCAAUUCCCUUUUCUGAUAAUCUGUCCAUCAGUGCUAGAGUUGUGAAAAAAUUACCAAAAUAUAGUUUGUAGGGUUCUGGAGGAAGGCAAGCCAGGGCCUAGCCCAAGUUCAUGUCUAUCAAUUGUUGCUGAGGCACCAACAUCAGGAUCAAACUGAGCCACAUAGCCUGAAGGGGUGGCUAAACUCCAUACUUUGUAGCCAAACCUUAUAGGUUUAUUUUUUAUAAAUUGCUUGGCAGAAUGUCUGCCGAAAUAUGGUACCAUGGUCUCAUCGAUGCUUAGAUUUUGAACUGAUUAGAAAUUUCUUAAGCACCUUUCAUUCAUAAGAUUUAAAUAUUGCCUCACUUUGCUUAGUUUGUCUGUUGAAUCUAGAUUGUUGUCUGAAAGAUAAAUGUAUCUCAAGAGUUCAUCGAAUCUUAUUCAGCUCAUAGCAUUAUAAACUGCCUUAAUACCACAAUCCUCACUGCGUUCCCAUUACAUCUCUCUUCUGGGAAAAAUAGAAUAGCCUGAGUAGCUAUGCUGCAAUAAUAAUAAUGCAGGCUUUAAUUUCGGAGGCACACGUUGAAAACUGGUGUUUUCCUUUCAUCUCUUUGGCAUACUUUUCAGUAUUUAAAACUAUAAAAUCUAACAUUUCUGAGUCAAAGAACUGUUUUUAAAAAUGCACCGUUGUGAGAUAAUCCACCUCAUGUUCUUCGUUGGUUCUAAUGCCAUCACACCACUGCUUUUGUUCAAUUCUAUCCACUGAAGAUUUAAUCCAUAGCCUCUUCUUUCUUUCGACUUUCCUUUUUCUCCUUGCAGAAGUUUGAGGCAUGUUUUGUUCAUCAUUACCAACGAUGUUAUCUGCAGCUCCAUCGUCAGAUGUCGUACCUAUAAAAAUAGAAUUAAAAAAAUAAUUUUUUAAAAGUAAUUAAAAAGUUAAAAAAAAAACAUUUAACUAUAAAAUAUAAAAAUGAAUCUAGUUGAAGUGUAUAGUUUUAUUAACUUACUUUGUAAACCAUGCAAGAUAAACUCUGCCUGACUAUUCAGUUGAGAAGGGCAAAAGUUAUCUGGUUGGCCACCAUCCUCAUCUCCACUGUCUUCGUCUGAAUUUUGGCCAUCGUCGGGAGGCAUAAUGAAUACAUCAGCAGAAAUAAAAUCAAGGUCCUCGUCCUCAAUCAUGCUGAUUACUUCAUGAGCUAUAAAGGCUCUUUUAGACCUAAAAAAAAUUAAUCUAGAUCAAUUAUUGUAAAUAAAUAUAUUAUAAAUUUGCAAAAUAAAUUGAUUAAAACCUUCUAGGCAUUAAGUAAAGAGCAAAUAAAUAUAUAAAUACAGAUAUAUACAUCUAUUUUUAUGUAGAUUUACAUUUGUAAUGCUAUGUUUUUAUUAUUGAAGUGGUGGUCUGAAUCGUACAGUGGCAUAUCCUGCUAUGUACACUCACAGUGUACGUAACAAAAAAAUUAAUUAAAAAAGUAAACAACAAAUAUUAAAUCUUUUUUUUUUUUUAUGAAAAUUGGAUAGUAAAUGUAAAUAAAUAAAGUUGUUUUGUUUGUUUUAAAUCAAAGAAAUGUGUAAAUACUUCCAUUUUCAAGAAGGUAAUUGUUUUUUCAAUAUUUUGCAAUAUGGUCACCUUGUGUUAAUAGCUAGAUGAUCAAAGACUCAACAAACCCUUUGAGUGAUGAACUAAAACGAAGGGUACUUGAAUAGUUAACAAGUUGCAUUCCUGGCUGCCUCCAUAUUGCAUGAAAUCAUAACAAACUAUAAAACUCAAGGGAGACUACUCUAACAAAUAAGCAUCAUUUUAAGCAUUAGACUUAAUGUUCUUAACUAACAUCCUCCUUUCUUUGUCAACACAAAGAUAAUAAAGAUACUGUCUGUAGUUCUACUUCAUGAAAUAGUUCUUUUGCCAAACAGGUUUCUUCCUUUCUCUUGUUGAUGCAGGUCUUCUAUUGUUGGUUGGUUCCGUGUGCGUAUGUGACGGGUUGAUUGGAUUGUCCAUUUGGUAUGUGGUUGAGUGAGGUUGGACAUCUGAUGGAAAGUUGUUUUCCUUUACAGGAGGGGUCAACAGGAUGGGGGUUUCAGUGUGUUGCGCUGGGACUGGAUCGACUGUCCUAAACUCUCUCCACCAAUCUUCAUCAUCGUUGUAGUUGUCUUGCCUUUCAAUGUUUCUAUUUUCCAUCUUUGUUGAUUGCUGUCGUCUUAUGUCUACUUGGUUUCGAAUGUACGUUCCGCCCUCCUCACUUCUAAUCUUAUAAGAUCUUGGAGUUUCUUGUCCAAUAAUCGUUCCGGGACGCGAAGUGACAAAAUGACAGCGGUAUUCUAACGACCUGAAUGUUAGAUUUCAACUGGAUACUGGAGCAGAUGUAAACAUCAUUUGCAAGAGAUUUGUCAGAAAAAGUCAAGUCAGAGAAACAUCCCAAACUCUUACUAUGUGGAAUCAGUCAAAAAUGAAGCCAGCGGUCAUGGCUGAUCUCAUCAUGACGAAUCCUUAAAAUGGCAAGCAAGAAAAGGUGAGAUUCACCAUUGUGGACAACGGGUUGCAAUGUUUAUUGGGUUUACAGACUUGCAAACGAUUGGGACUAAUAACUGUCAACAAGGAAAACGUCAUUGCACCUGUUCACAGUGAAGAAAGCGAUCUGGGAGAUUUAGGCGAGGCUCAUCUCACUGUAGACGAAACAGUGGCACCAGUGGUCUCUCAGUGUCGGAAGAUCCCCCAUACUAUGAGAGAAAAAGUCAAGCAAGAAAUCAAGCUUUUGGUGAGUCGGAAAAUACUUAUCCCUGUUGAUGAACCCACUGACUGGGUCAGUCCAAUGGCUGUGGUCAAAUGAUGUCUUGCAAAUAAUGUUUAUGUCUGCUCCAGUGUCAUGUUGAAAUCUAACAUUCAGGUUGUUAAUCAAGAAUACUGCUGUCAUUUUGUCACUUGGUGCAUUUAGGGUGUUUAGGUAUUCUUCAUUGUCACUCUCAGCGGGCUCUUGUAUCCUUACUGCGUUUAUGCACUUAGCUGCAAAGUGGUUUCUUUUUUUGCAUUUGGCACAAACUUGUCCCCAUGCUGGACAUUUCCUAUGUUCAUGGGUUCUCCCUCAAUACCGGCAGUCUGUAAUCAAGGUUUUGUUCUGGGUUCUUUAGAUCUUACUUUGUCAACAAGAAUGGGUGCUUCGGCAUUGUUUAGUUCGUUCAAGCUGUUGUUGGAUUGUUCGAAAGCUUGGCAAAUACCUAUGGUUUUCUUCAGUGUCAGUCCUGACACGGUAAUAAUCUUUCUUGAAUUUGUCUAUUUACUGAGAACACUAUUUUGUCUCUCAACAUUCCAUCUUUGUCUUUGAAAUUGCAUUUCUCUGCUUGUGUCCUCAGUUCUGUUAGGAGACUGUCGAAGGGGGAGCUUUCUUUUAGAUUCCAGAAUCUGAAGGUCUCCAACACCUCGUUGUUUCUGGGGUUUCAGUACUCUUCUAUUUUUUUUAAGUACUGUCCUAUGGUAGUUGGGUUCUUCAUCUUGCUUAUAAGUGAAGUGGUCGUGAAUCUCAAUAGCUCUUGGGCCAGCACAUUGUAGUAUAAUAGCCACUUGCUGUUCUUUUGGUUUUGUGUUGGCUCCAGAAGCCGCCAUGUAAACCUCCAUGAGCCGUUUCCAUUUUUCUGAAGUUUUCUGAGAUGUUGCCCUCAGUUAUAUUCAGGUCGGUUGGCGGUUUGAACAAACUCUCCGCCAUCUUUUGUUACCUUCGCUCUAGAUUUCGUAAAAGAUUCUAUUUCUAUUUUCUUCUUUAGUUAUUUUGUAAUACUUAUUCUUUGUUUCCCAACUGUGGGUUCUGCUACUUCGCUACCACCAUGUUAAUAGCUAGAUGAUCAAAGACUCAACAAACACUUUGAGUGAUGAACUAAAACGAAGGGUACUUUAAUAGUUAACAAGUUGCAUUCCUGGCUGCCUCCAUAUUGCAUGGAAUCAUAACAAACUAUAAAACUCAAGGGAGACUACUCCAACAAAUCAGCAUCAUUUUAAGCAUUAGUCUUAAUGUUCUUAACUAACUUAACUAACACUUUGAAAAGCGAUAAAAUAAUAAAAGACUGCAAGAAGUAAAAAGCAGUUUAAAAAUAAAAAACUCUCUUCAUUAAUUUAAUAUAAUCUUUUUAGAAACGUACACUCCCAGUGUACAAAGUAGGAUAUGGGUUAAGAGAUAUCUGAAAGAGUAUUUUGAACACCUGUGCUAGCUCAUUGCUUAGUUCUUUGAGUAAUCUAGCUGGAAUACCAUCAGGUCCAGAUGCUUUAUUCGGUUUGAUGUUAACUAAUAGUUUUUGGAUUCCCUUUUCUUGUACUUCUAUAUACAUCUCCUAUGUUGUCUACUUGGUUCAAAUUAAGUAAUAUGUCUUUGUCUCCUGGGGCUGAGAAUGCUGAUGCAAAGUAUUUAUUUAGGAUGUUAACAUUAGUUUCAUUAUCAUUAUGUGUUAUCUUCAACUUUUAAUGGCGCUAUGCCUGUUAUUUCCAUUUUCUUAGACUUAAUGAUAAUGUAUGACCAUAGGUUUUUGUUGUUAUGGUGUAUAUGUAUUCACUCUGCAGCUGUCUGCUUACUAUUUGGGAUAGGUGUUUAAUUUUUAUGUACUAUUUAUAAACUCUUUAUGCCUUAGUUUCUUUAAAUUUUCUAUAUAGGUUUUCCUUCUGUUUACAAAGCUUCUUUAAUCUAUUAUUAAACCAGCAUUUAUUUAUUUUGUUUGAUGUGUAUUUAGUUGGUAAAUGAUUUUCUAUAAUGUUUUUAAUGAAAUUCCAGAGGUCAUCGACUGGUUGGUUAAUGUCUUUUUCUGAUAAGAAUGUUUGUUGGAAGUUUAAUGCAGCUUGGUGUAGUUGUGUUAUGUUACAUUUAUUCCAGAGUAAUAUUUUCUUUUGGGUUUUGUAUUGGCUACUGCUUUUAUCUGACUGUGUAUUUUAAUGAUAUCAUGGUCUGAUAGACCAGGGAUAAUAUCAUAAUCUACUACUAAUUUAGGUCUGUUGGUUAAGAAGAGAUCUAAUGUGUUGUUUAUGUUUAAUCUAGUUGAUUUUUUAAUGAUUUGAUCUAAACUUAGGUUGUGUAAAGUUUCUAUGAAAAGUUCCUUUAUUUUUUCUUUAAUGUUUUGGUGUUUAUCUAUGGUUAGUGUUUUUUUGUCAGGAAAUAACAAUUUAUUUAAUAUCUAAUAAUUUGUAGACAUUUUCAAAACAAUAAAAAACAAUAGUGUUCAAGACAUUACAAUAAAAUAAUGUCUAAUAAUUUGUAGACAUUUUCAAAACGAUAAACCAUGAGUGGUCAAGAAAUUACAAUUCAUUUAAUAUCUAAUAAUUUGUAGACAUUUUCCAAAAAAGUUUUUAUAAUGUGUAAUUGUAUCCAAUAGUUUUUUUUUCAUUAAGUUCAUUAACAAAGGAGGUUACACAGUAACAUUAACAAUUUCACAGAAAAUUGACUUUGAAGCAAUGUUGUGUCCUGUGAUACUAGCGAGUAACUAGGCACGGCAAGUCAAUAUAGGGUUUUAUACAGCUUUCCUGUAUGUCUUAUUUGUUAAAAAAAAAGGCUGAUCAGAGAACAGGUUAUUCCUCUUGUGUCAAUUUUUUUCAAAGGUCUCCUUGAGCUGUAAGAGGGCUACUCCAGCAUCAUCAAGGUGGCCCUUGAGUCUGUUAGAGUCGUUUUGAAUUAAAACAUUUCACGCCAAUUUAUCUGUAUCACAAAUGUGCAGGGUUCUGUUAGAGUCGUAUGUAAAUUAUUUCAGGGGUAGGGGUGUUCCUUUCCAAAUUGUUAUCUCUCUCAUUACGAGAGGUUUGGAUUUCGUCCCUAAUCCUUACAUCAACUUUUAAAGCACAUGUCAAAAAAAAAAUAAAACAUUCUCCUACAACACAUUAUUAAUAAACAUUUAUAGUUACAUGUAUUUUCCCAGCUAUUUCAUAGAUCAUACAAUUUUAAUAUAGUUACUAAGUCCUUAAAUAUUAUAACAUUAUACAUAUAUAUAUAUAUGUAUAUAUUCUUUAGGAUUAUUAUGAUUUUGGUAGUUUUUGUUUAUAGUCUCUUCUCAGGCUCCAAAACGUUCAAUUUCGUCUUGUUCCUUUGUUUUCCAGUUAGGUUAGGAUGAGGCUGUCGCUAAGAUAUAGAAAUUGUCAUAGUGUUCUCAUUACGUUUCCACAAUUGUCAUGGUGUUCUCAUUAUGUUUCAACGGGCUUGCCGUGUUAUUUGAGUGUAUAACAGACACACUUGAUAUUGACUUGUGACUUGCUCUCCAAUAUUGUGAUCUAAGAGGACGUAAGAACAAGAGGAAAUAAUUCUGCAAAAGUGUUGACUUCCCUUUAAAAGACAGUUCUUGAGUAGUUUUCCAUAGAGAACUAUAAAGUUCCAUUUGAUUUCCAUCACGCAUCCCCCACCCCAAAACUCUCUUUAACACGGUUACAUACACACUCUCACACACUCGAAUAACCACUUAGACUAAUGACAAUAUGAAUGUCAGAGUAACUUUUAAGAUUAAUUACAAUAUUUAGAUUUUUUUUUCGUGGUCUGGCAAUUUAGUCAAGUACAUUAAAUUACACAAUAAUUACAAUUUCUAUCUAACCAGUAUCGUUAUCAAUUUUAUAUUCAAUUAUUUUUCUAAAUAUUAACUCAAAAUUGUAAGGAUUAUACCUGACACAUAACAGACUUCUUUCAAUGAUUGGAAGAGACGCCAGAGAUGAAUUAACAGCAGAAUAUAACUUCAAUAUAAGUAAAUCAGGAUUACUGUAGUUGUAGACAACGCAUCAAGUGUUAACUAGUAAAUAUAUGCAUAAUUAUGCAAACUGACUUCUAUAUUAUUUAUACUAUACGAAUAGACUCCAAAGCUCAGGCCUCUGGCCACAAUAAUCAAACUCCAAGCGCUGUUACUCUGUCCCAACCAAUGGACCAAUGAAAUUAUAAUAAAUAAACAUAGAAUUCCUUAAAUCCUACACCCAAGAUUCUCUCAAGUGUUGUUUACAAUAUUAUAUACAAAUAUAGUCACCACUUUCCCCUCUUACCAAAAUAAUCUAUUAAUAAACCUUAUUAAUAGCGUACAAAGUUACUAGCUUAGAUUUUGUACAAUAGUAGAUUCAGUAUCAGGUAAAGGAGUAGUGCAAAAAAAUACGUAGGUCAAACACUACCAUCAAUGGGAUUAAUGCAUAAAGGGAAAUUAAGAAACUGAACAACUAACGUCAUUCUCGAUAUCGCUGACUUUGCAGGCUUUAGGCCAGUGAAAUAUGUCUUGAUACAGUUCUUGUAGGUUCCAACCUCUAUGAAGCUCAAUAACUGAUGUUGGUCGUAAUAGUCUCACAAUUUCUGCAACCUUGAUAGAUUGUCCAUGAUGACGUUAUCUACCCUUGCCGUGUGUUUCACGUCCAAUUGGAAGUCAGACAGUUUUAAUGCCCAACGGGCCAUUCUUCCACUGUUUAGUUUACGAUCGUUCAGCGCCUUAAGAGGUGCAUGGUCAGUUUGGAAAAUGAACGGCUUGCUUAAUUUAGAGGUGGCCAAGAUGAUGGAUUGGCAUUCUCUUUCUAGAACUGCAUAUCGUUGCUCUGUGUCCAUCAGCUUACAGCUGAUGUAACAUAUGGGAUGGAGAUUGCCUUCUAGUUCUUGCAGUAAGCACGCUCCAAUCCCCGUAGACGACGCAUCUGUUGCUAACGUAAAUAUCUUAGACAAGUCUGGUAAUUGUAAGAUAGGUUCAGAUCGAAAUACUUGUUUUAUUGCUUGCACAGCUUGCUUGCAAUGUUGGUCCCACUCAAUUCUCCUCUGAGUGUUAUUCUGCCUAAGUUCUGUUUUAACAUUCUUAUGUUUUGUCAAAUCCGUCAAGGGUGUAAUCAUUUCUGCAGUUAGGAAUGUAUUUCCUGUAGAAGUUAACCUGACCAAUUAAUCUCUUAAUGUCCUUUACGUUCUUUGCAGUCUCAAUUCCUAGGAUUCGUUGUACGGUGUUUUCCCUUGGUUUUAACUGUCCAUAUCUUAUGUCAUGACCUAGAAAUUCAAUUGUAUCUGUAGCAAGUUCUAGCUUACUUGGUCGAGCAGUUAGACCAUGCCGUUGAAGGGUGCUCAAGAUUGACUCUAAAGCUUCCACAUGUUCUUGCCAGUUCUCAGUGUACACACAUAUAUCAUCCAUAUAUGCGAUCACGUUUUUAUGCCCUGCCAAAACUAUUCUCAUAAGUCUGUUGAAUGUUGCAGGAGCAUUCACCAGACUGAAUGGCAUAUCCUUCCAUUGAUAGAGUCCAAAUGGAGUAGAAAAUGCAGUUAGAUGGCGUGCACUUUCAGCUACUGGAAUCUGAUAGUAACCUUUUGCAAGGUCUAGCUUACUAAAUAUUUUGGCAUUAGCUAAAGUAUCAAACAAGUCCUCUGUAUUGGGCAUGAGUUCUGUGUCUAAAACUGUAAUGCUGUUUAAUUGACAAUAGUCUAUGCACAUUCAGGUUUCUCCAUUUUUCUUCAUUACUACUGGAGCUGCUAAUGGGGAUUUUGAUCUUUCGAUAUUUCUUUUCCUCGUGUCUCUUAUCUUCUUGCUCAUCAAUAUUCUUUCCUUUACUCUCUUUUCCAAUUGCAGUGAUUCUGACCUUCGAUUCUUCAUCAUCUAUUUUUAUUUUGCCUGCUACUUGUUCCUCUUCUAGUUUCCAUUUAAAUAUCAUCUCUACUUCCUUCAUUGCUAUCUUUCGUUCUUCUAACUUCGCUCUUUCUUUUCUUUUUUCCUCUUCUACUUUCGCCCUUUCUCUCCUCUCUUCCAUUCUAGUAUCUCUCUCCUCGUUCUGUCUUAUGAUUUUAGCAACCCACUCGUCUAACUCUUCUCUCUGAUAGCCCAGACUUUUCCCCGUUUCAUAUAGUUUUAAUAAGUUGUUGUAUGCUCUUUCUGCCAUCUUAUGGAUGUAGGUUUGUUCUUAUAAUUUAUGAGAAGAGCCUUAGUCCCUGAAUUAAUUAGUUUCAAUUUUGCCAGCAGUAGAGCUUCUAGCCAGAAGAUAAUAGAUAACAAAUCUCCUAGUUCAUGUCAAAGGUUUGACACGUCAGUAGUACUAUAAGAAUUAAAUAGUUCACCUGUCAAAUUUUUGACACGCUUGCUGCUCCACCAUUGUUGUAAACUCCUUACUUGGAUUUACCUGACACAUAACAGACUUCUUUCAAUGAUUGGAAGAGACGCCAGAGAUGAAUUAACAGCAGAAUAUAACUUUAAUAUAAGUAAAUCAGGAUAACUGUAGUUGUAAACAACGCAUCAAGUGUUAACUAGUAAAUAUAUGCAUAAUUAUGCAAACUGACUUCUAAUUAUUUAUACUAUACGAAUAGACUCCAAAGCUCAGGCCUCUGGCCACAAUAAUCAAACUCCAAGCGCUGUUACUCUGUCCCAACCAAUGGACCAAUGAAAUUAUAAUAAAUAAACAUAGAAUUCCUUAAAUCCUACACCCAAGAUUCUCUCAAGUGUUGUUUACAAUCUUAUGUACAAACAUAGUCACCACAGAUACAUUGUUAUUAACAACUCAACUUCUGUAUUCAGACACUAUUUUUAGGUUAAAAUUAUGAAUAGUCUUACUUGUGAUUUUAGGUAAUGUAUUUAAAACAAUAGCUAGGUUAAGAUUAACAUUGGUGUUACAGUUUGCCUCUAGUAGGUCUUUCAUAGUGCACCUAACAUUAUCAAAUAUUUUACAUUUUAAAAACAAAUGGCUUUCAUUGUUACCAUUAUAUGUGUGACAUAAAACACGUGUUUACCUUUCUUUUCUUACUUCCUACAGGGGUCAUGCCAAAGAUUAGUCUGUAUGUUAUUUCUCUAGCUUUGGGUGUAAUGUGUUUGCUGUGUAGAUUUAUGAAAGUGUCUCUGAAAUCUAGUACUACUCACUCUGUACUCCAUUUGAUCCUAUUGAAUAAUCUUUCUUGUAACUGUUGAGUGUUGUGUGUCUUUUUAAUUUACUGUGUAUUAGAUGUUCAUUGCCAGGGAGUAUUCUUGAUAUGGAUCUGUAAAAUGGAUGUGUGUUUGUACCAAAGUAGUGUGGGAUGUCAUUUUUUAUUGGAAUUAUUCUACCUAACCUUAAGCCGUAAUAGUAUAAAGUUAAUGGGAAAUUGUUUGGAUUCUUGGCUACUUGUCUUAUAUAUUUUAAUCUAAGUGCUUGUAUUUUUGUUCUUAGGUCUUGUAAGUUUAUACCUACAUCCUCUUUGUUCUGUAUAAGUUUUUGUGUUUAAUGCUUCUAAUAGUGUUUUUGAAAAUAAAACUCCUAAUGAUUGUGUUUAUGCUUCGUGUAAAAGUUGGUGGUGGUUCUGUGAUAUUCACUAAAUAAACUAUCUUCAGGAUGACCUGGUUGUCCACCAAUAUUGCUCUACCAAAUAUGGUAGUUGCUGCAUAAUGAAAUCUUUUGAGCGUGUUUUUGGGUCUCUUUAAAAUAUUUUCCCACUGUUGUGUGUGGUAAUAUGUUGGGUUGCUGGUAAACGUGAUGCCGCAUAUUUUAAUUUCCUUCUUUAUUCUAAGGUUAAAGGGGAUGUUUGAGGGGAUUUUCCACCUGCCUAAUACCAUAAUACAAGAUUUAUUAAUGUUGAUUUUUUGACCCGCUUGCCCUCCCAAAUCGAAUAAACUUAUCUAUGAUUGUUGCUAUGUCUUUUUCUGAGUAGGGAACAAGGUGGUGUCCUCAGCGUAUGCUUUAACUUUAACUACGCGUGUGGGGCCUGGGAUUCUAAUUCCUUUGAUUCCACUAUCUAGCCUAAUGGUUUCUAAAAGGGGUUCUAGGCAAAGGGACACCCUUGUCUAAAAGAUUUUCUAAUAGGCUCCAAAGAUUUCUUCUAUCUUUGUUUUGUGUAUAGUUCACCAGUGAAGGGUGACCCUGAGUUUUUCAUCCUCCAAGGUAGAGACUUCUACCUUAAGGUCCUUCUCAGUCCGAAAUGAUUUUCCUAGCAUAUGGGUUCUCACCCGGGUGGAUGUUGGGACCAAGAACCAGACAAAGGAGUUCUCGAAACGGUAGAGAACCCACUUCAUCAGGUAAAUACUGCCUAUUAUUAGGGAUGUUGAGGUGGUGUUGAUUUUACAAAAUGUUGAUUCUAUAUUUUUUGAGUUAGGUAAGGUAAUUUCUUCUGCUAUAAAACUGUUUUUUAUUGCUAAAAGAACUCCUCCAUGAUUAUCUGCCCUAUCUUUUCUAAAAAUUUCAUUAUCACUAUUGAAAAUUUCUGCAUUAUAAAUUUCAGGAUGUAGCCAAGUUUCUGUUCCUGCAAUUAUGUCUAGUUUCUCAAGUUCUAAUAAAAUUUCUAUGUCUGCUGUUUUAUUCCUCAUGCUUUGAAAAUUAAUUACUAAGGUUUUAAGGUAUUUUGGUAUUACUUCUUUAGUAAGUUUAUUUAAUGAUGGUGUUUUAUCAGUUUUAAUAGAUUUAACUGGAGUGGAUCUGGCUAGUGGUUGGUGAGUUUGGUUUGGGAUGGUGUUUAGGAUGUUGUAUGGGUUAGAAGUGUCUGCAUCAAAGGAGUCAAACAGUUCUGAUGUAAAGUGAGGUAACUCACACAGUACACAGUGCCAUGAUGCGUCUUUGUUGUCUAAUGCAUAAUACACAAGUGAUUUCAUAUGGAGACAUGAUGUGUGGUACCAUUCAUCACAGGUGUCACAUUGAAUGGCUUUCUGUUUCAUGGUGCAUACUUUUUUACAGAUGUUGCAUCUAUCUUGAGAUCUAGGUCCUGGGUUUGAUUCUACAUCUCCUGCUAUUAAUAUUAAGUGUCAUAGGUAUUUAUUUUGUCUAUAUUUAAUUGAGAACUUCCAUUUGUGAUGGGUAAUCUUCUUUAAUGUUAUGGAUGUGUAUGUUAGAUUAUUUUUGAAGUUGCAUUAUCUAUAGUGUGAUGAUUGGUAAUGACUGUUUCCUUCUUAAGUUUAGAGUUGACUGAUCUAGAUCUGUGUUCACUUAGAGUGUAUUUAGUAAUUAUCAGAAUAAAUAGCCAGAGCAAUUUCUAGUCUAAACCUAAUUUAAAGUUUUACAAUGCUUAAAGCUAAAGUGAAAGCUAGUUUACAAUGGUUUAUUGAUUAGUAUUCUAAGUCUAGCUAGAUCUAGAUCUAAUUUGGUAAUUAAAUCUAUUGUAAGUCUCUUAAAAUUUUAGAUGUAGAAUAAAACUAUUUAUCUUCCUAUCUGACUAUCUUAGUAACUAAUAUGCCUAAGCUAGAAGUAUAUUUUAUAGAUCUAAUAACUAUGUCUAAAACUAUAUUAUAUGCUUUGAAUUUAUUAUUAUUGUAAAAAAAUUAAACUGUAUCCAAGUAUCUCCUGAAAAAAACAUAACACUGUCAAACUUGAUCAAUAUUUGGACUUGAUCAGUAUUUAGACUUUUAGUAAUCCUUUUAGGCAUAGUCUCAUUCCAAAAAAAAAAAGUAUGAAAAUAACAAUUAUAAAACUUGAAACUACAAAUACAUUUUGUAUACAAAAUCAACAUAUUUACAAGUACUGUUUACACCAAAUUAAACAUUAAUUUUGGUGUGCCUUAUUUCAAACCAGUGUUUUGGAUGGAUAUGAGGAUGACCUUCACAGCCUUUACCAAUAAAGUUGUAGUGUUUCCCUUGUUUAGGUGUGCUGCAUAAGUGACAUCUGUCUGUUCCUGUGUAAACAAUAGAGUGUUUGGCUUCUUCUUUGGGUUCAAUGGGAUUAACCAAUCUAGGACGUUCAGGUUUUGCUUAAAUUAUUCUGGUUACAUCAGUCAUGAUUGCGGUAGCUUCGCAGCAUAGUUUGUUGAUGACUCGUUUCUUGAAGCCUUUUAGAGUCAUCUCAUGUUUCUUCAUUGUUAGUAUGUAGGCAGUUACUGUGUUUCUCUAUAAAGACAGUAAAAAAAUAUUUUUCCACCAAAAUUUUUUGUUUUUCGAGCAUGAAUGCUUCAAAUAGCCAAUCAUCUGAUCUGCAUCAUCACAUCAAUUCAUGUUGUAAUUGUAAGCAUGGAUGGUUCCAGGUUUAUGUUUGCCCUUUGCACUGUGACAUCCUCUGCACUCGUUGAAGCAAGGAUAACUGGCUUUUUUUGUCCUUCCAGAUAAGACACAAGAUUUUAUCCUGGAGCAUCCAGUAUUUGCAUGUGCUGGAGCACUAAGGUUUUCAGAGCUUUGUUAAAGCCAAAACUUUUGCACUGUCCCUGUAUAAUAUUGUCCUUGACCCAGAAGAUGGUCAAUCUAAUCCUUUGUGUACCAUCUACCUGCGCAUACAUGGUAACCUUUACCCAGAUGAUUCUGGAGGGUGUCAAUAAUUUUGAUUGCCAUUCCACCAUCUGGAUCAGCUUUGGGGUUGUAUGACGUAUUAGCCCCAUAGUAAGUAAGGACGAUUCAAUAUAUAACCAGUGCCACUGUCUACUAGGCCAAAACUUUUGAUAUGGUACUUGUAUGGUUUAGUUGCAUUGUAUAUUUUGUACCUCCACCUUACCUUCCAUCCAAUAAUCAUCUCAUCUAUAUAGACAGACUGAUUUGGCAUGAAUGCAUAUUGAAAUCUUUCAGUAAGGCUAUUCACAAAUGGUUCAAUUUUGUUUUUGUUUUCUCCUCUGGCUCUCCCACAUAAGCAUUGAAGAGUAAAUUGUUUCAGAUCUCUCUCCCUUUGAAAUAUCUUGUGAUAAAAAGUGUUGGAAAAAAGAAGUUUUUUGUCAUGGUCGAAACACUUUUGGUAUGUGUAAUAUCCUGGUUCUAUGCCAAGGUAUUCCAAAAAUGUAAUGAUUGAUAUUGAUCCAUCAUUCAAAUAAAUGACACUAAACUUUUCCUCUUCUAUAGUUUUUUCUCUACAUAAAUCUUUCCAAAAUCAAUUUAUUUAAAUUUUCAUUUCUGUUGUGUGUCUUGCCAUGAAUGCAACAGCUCUUCAUUUGCCAGAUCUUCAAAAACAGAUUCCUAAUAUGUUAUUACAGCUUCAGGGAGACCAUUUUUAUGUUUGUAAGACUUUGGGUCAAGUUUGUUGUCAGGGCAGUAAUCACGUGUUGGUAUUUUUUCAGGUGAUCCAAUAUGAAAAAGGACAGCUUUGACAUUUGCUUUCAUCUGAGCUAAAUCACCACUAUUCUGACGGACAGCAAAUCCAAAGUAAUUUUGUGUGUCUAUUUUUUUUUUCUGGUUAAUCUGCCUGACCACUAAUGCCCUUGCCAUCGUCAAGCUUUUGUCCUUUAUUUUCAUUUACUAGCUGCCUCAGUCUUGUCCCGCAUUUUUUCUGGUCGUGGCCUACGCAUUCCAGUUUUUCUAUAGGCUUCUCUCCAUAUGGCUUAGAAUUAACUACUUUUUUGUAUGAGGAAGAAUCUCCAUCACCUAAAUAAUAAGUGUAUCGGAAUUUUCUGGUUUCUACAGAGCACAUAAAAAUGUUGACUACAAACGCAGCUUCAGUUCCAGCACUACCUGCAUGGUUAAUUUUACAAUUAUGUUGUAAUCUCCAGGAUAUCAUAUUCCACUGUUCCCUUUCUUUUUCCCAAAUUGACAUGCCUAACAAAUAUUGGAAAGAAUAUAUGUUUCAAUACACUUUCCAUUUUCAACAGAAAUGCCACUACCACUCCAUGAUGACUAGAAUGACCUCUGCACUACCAUGUCCCAUCAACGGAAACAUAACAGUCAACUACAUUAUCUUCAGAAUUUUCAGAUUUCUCCCUUGACUCUGUUACAGCUUUCUCCAUACUUUCCAUGGCUACCUUUUUACUAGCUUCAGCAACGUUUGUAAAGAUUUUUUAAUAAUUAUUUCUGGUCAUUGGUGGAGAGCUGUUAAAAUAUAAAGUAAACAUUUCAAGUGCAUUAUAUUCUCUUCCAAUGGCUCUUGCAAAUGAUACCAUUCUUAAAUUAAUUUCUUUGUGGCCACAAUCCUCUCUGCUUGUUUUGAAUCUUGUCUCCCAUUCAUUGCAAUUACUGCAUCUCAAUAUUAUUUUAUGAGCGAAACCAUUCUCUUUCGUUAUCAAGCUCUACAGAUAUAGUGAACUGAGGGUGCACAUCACAUGCAAAAGUAGCAGAUAGAAAAAUUAUAUAGAAUAUUUGUAUUCAUUAGAAUAAAUGAAUUAAUAUUGUUUAGGUUCCUUUCUUCUGGUUGAAUAUUACUUUGCUGCAUUGUCUUGUAUAGAUUUAUAGUUCAUGGUGAUGAUGUCACUGAAAAAAAAAAAAAUAAUGACUUUAGGACAUUAUAUACUUCUUUACCUCCUGUCAGCUCAGUCAAUUAAUCAGUUGACAAUGACCAGGUAUGUCUGUUGGCACAGUAAAGAACCAAAAAUAAAAAUUCAUGGGAUACCAGGAAAAACAACAGUUGUCUUAUAAUAAAAUGAAAAAUUAUUUGACCUGUUUUUACAUUCAAUGUGUAGGGUGUGCCUGUUUUUUUGUAGAGUAAAUGCUAUCUAAUAGAGGUUCUAAAGUCGACAAACAAACUUGCAUUUCAUCGUCUAUUGUAAGAAGUGUACAUAAUUUCAGGCAUGAUUUCUUUAUUUGAAGCCUAUUCAUUGUAAGAAGGAAAGCAGUUGAAGACUCCCUUUGAGGUCUUACUUUGCCACAACGACAAUUUUUCACCAUAUGACUUCUUGAGGAUGCAGUGAUGAUGUUGUUGAAGACUAAAAUUCAAUGAAUUUAAUUUGUCAAAUAUAUCAGAAAUGUCACCUUAACCCACCAGAUCUCGUCAUGAAUAUAAAAUCCAAAGUCUUUUUUUUUCAGCCUCCAAGAAUGAAAUCAGCUCAGCUUUAAGUUGGACGACAUGCUUUUGUAUGUUCACUAAUCAUUCUUUCAAUACUUCCAACCGUUUUGUGGAACCUGAGAAAAAUGCCUACACAUUUUGGAGAAGCAAGAAAUAGAUCAAUGCUCUCCUUGCUGCAGUUAGCAGGGUGAAUAUGACCUAUUGAUCCUCUAUUUCAUCAGGCUGUUUCUGAUUAUAAGCCACCUUUAAAAUUGUGUUUUGUUCUUCUAAUAAAACUACCUAUUCUACCCUCUCUAUCAGGUCUGGUAGACUAAACCUUCUUACUGUACCCACAGGCUGUGAGACCAUAGUGCUUUAACACUUCCCUCAAAUCGCUCUCCAAGACAUCAAUAAUUAGUUCCCAUUCACUUAUGUCUCCCUUCCCAAUCAAAUGACUUGACCUUACAAUAUAUGUCUGAGGUAACUAAACAAAUAAUCCUUUUCAGUUCUAAACAACUUUGGAAAAUAAAAUAUGCUGAUCUGUUGUCAACAAAUCACAUUUCCCUCCAAGAAAGCUAUUAUCUUUCUAACUCUAAUAGAAAAAAUAUAGGUCAAAUUGCAAAAAUAUAUAUUCUUUAUUUGAAGUUCUGAAAGGGUUAAAAAAUGAUUACCUGGACAUCUUGAAUAUCCAAAACCUUGUUGAUUUGAUACGCCUAGUAUCACAUUUGUCAUUAUGCCCUGGGGAAUCCUUGUCCCCAUAUCCUACUAACUUAAGUUAGUUAAGUUGAUCUUUGAUUUCUGUUUGUUCAAUGGAAAAAGAUUGUUUCCACUGUGAAAUGCAAAUAAUAAUCAAAUAAUCAGAAUGUAGAUAUGUAUAUCUUGGCUAUAUUUAGAGCAUCCGAAAAGUGCAUCGUUUGAGAUGCUAAGUAAUCUGUGAAACACACCGCAGCUGACCACAAUAAAUGCCCAUGUGUUUAAGUUGACCUGCACACAGAACAUGUGAAACACACCGCAGUUGACCACAAUAAAUGCCCAUGUGUUUAAGUUGACCUGCACACAGAACAUGUGAAACACACCGCAGUUGACCACAAUAAAUGCCCAUGUGUUUAAGUUGACCUGCACACACAGAACAGACUUGGGAAAUAGUUCAACAUGUUUCCAUUUUCUUUUAAAUUGCAUUUACAUUUGCAUGAGCAGCAGAUAGGCAAGUGGAGACUAAAUAGUGCACUUCACCUAGGCAAGUGGAGACUAAAUAGUGCACUUCACCUAGGCAAGUGGAGACUAAAUAGUGCACUUCACCUAGGCAAGUGGAGACUAAAUAGUGCACUUCACCUAGGCAAGUUGAGACUAAAUAGUGCACUUCACCUAGGCAAGUUGAGACUAAAUAGUGCAUUUCACUUAGGCAAGUUGAGACUAAAUAGUUGUUUACUUCACCUAGGCAAGUUGAGACUAAAUAGUGCACUUCACCUAGGCAAGUUGAGACUAAAUAGUUGUUUACUUCACCUAGGCAAGUUGAGACUAAAUAGUGCACUUCACCUAGGCAAGUUGAGACUAAAUAGUGCACUUCACCUAGGCAAGUUGAGACUAAAUAGUGCACUUCACCUAGGCAAGUUGAGACUAAAUAGUUGUUUACUUCACCCUGAGAAAAAAAAAGAAGGGGGUGGGGGUACUAGAUCUGCUUGUGGGUGCAUCAUACGGUGUAUGUACUGUAAUUUUAAAAUAGUAGUUUCAAAUCAAAAGUUUAAAAAAAUCUCAUUGGUAAUAAAUAUCCUGUUUGAAAUCUCUCUUUAAAUUCCAUAAUCAAUGAAUUCAACUAGAUUUUGUACUUUUCAUGUGAUAACAACCCAUUGCACUUAAGUUUGACAUUCAAUUUGUCCAUAAUAUCAAUGGCAAACAAGAAAUGUGUCUAUUUUCAUUAACAGUAUUUGUAACAAUCUGAAUCUUCAUCUCCCUUGAGAUCUCUCACUUGUUUCAAUAUCUUGCCCAAAUUAAUUGGUGCAGUACAUCAGCAUCUCAGUUUCAAUAACUUCAAGUAGUUUUCUGAACUGACUUUGGUUAAUACCCCCUAGUCCUACAAGGUUGAUCACUGUGACAAUAGGCUUAAUAACAUGCUUGAUCUUCAAUGCUGCACAAAGUUUCCUGAUGAGUUAAAAGUGUAUGAUCAGGAUAUUACUCUGCUGUUUCAUUAACUGUUUUUUCCAGUAAAAACUACAGGCUCCAUAAGUUGUUAAACUUGUUUCAUGCCAUACCAACUCUUUACAUCACAGCAUUGAAUGAAUUUUGGCCUGAUUCAAGUCUUUGAGUGAUUCAUCACUUUUCUGUGAGCUGAAAUUUAGUAUCUAUUCCCUAAAUGAAUUUCAAUAAUUCUACUUGGUUCUUUUGUCUAAUUGGAGUACCACACAAAAAUCCUUGCUUGCAUCGUGAAGUUAGUGCAUCAAAUCAUCAGCUAUUUUUCCAACACACCUACCUACGGUUUUUCUUUAACAAUAAUGCUAUAAUUUUUUUUUUAAUGUCCAGGAUACAUAAUUUUGGCUGCAUUUGACACAUACUCCUUUAUUAAAUUGAGUUGUUUUUGUUUUGUAUACACAACUUUGAAACAAAGUGAAGACAACUCUCAGAUGAGCAAAGUCUUAUCAAUGUUUCUGUGAAUUAGAAUCAUUGUCAUUUACUUCUAAUUUUUCAGAAUAUUAUAUAUUAUUUAUAUAUAAAUAAUAUAUUAUUUGGCCUUUUCAUCAUCAGAAUUGAAAUUACAAAAAAUUGUUGAUAUUCAAAUGGUAUAUAUAUAUAUGUAUAUUUAUUUGUUUAUAUUUAGCAAAAACAUGUAUGUAUAUUUAUUUGUUUAUAUUUAGCAAAAACAUGUAUGUAUAUUUAUUUGUUUAUAUUUAGCAAAAACAUGUAUGUAUAUUUAUUUGUUUAAUAGUUUCUUUGAAAUUUUAAACCUAAAAUGUUAUCACUUUGGAUUUCACUUAAACCUAACCCAAACUACUACAUACAAAAGUUUGGACAAAAAAGUUUACAUUUGAUUUCAUUGAUCAUAUGACCUCCACAGUGAACUUGUUACACUGACUCACAACUAAGUUUCUUUUGUUAUCUGUACAUUGAUCUUUUUGUGAUGGAUAUUUAAAAUGUUCUGUACAUUGAUCUUAUUGUAAUGGAUAUUUAAAAUGUUCUGUACAUUGAUCUUACUGUGAUGGAUAUUUUAAAUGUUUUUUUUUUGUAAUAAAUAUAUUUUACAAAUA